This 1861-nucleotide unclassified non-coding RNA is filed under the name Leishmania donovani. Its description in RNAcentral is "gene:unknown". Lineage: Eukaryota; Euglenozoa; Kinetoplastea; Trypanosomatida; Trypanosomatidae. The record is from RNAcentral.
CGCACGCAUACGCAUCCGCUGCCGUUCCCUCCCCCCUAUCCCUCGCGUCCUUCGCGCCAAAGAUGAAGAGGCGUCUGCACCGCCGUAGAUGCCGCGACGGAGCCUGAUGGGUGGCCACGCAUGGCUCUUUUUCUUUCCCGCUUCGCCUUCUCGCUAGGGAGGCGACGUUUGCGUGCGUUGGUGGGAGUGCCUCUGUGCGCGUGCGCGCAUUUCGGUGUGAAGGCGGAGCGAGCAAAAGGGACAGUGAAAGGGGGCUCGAAUGGGAUGAUUAUUGCUGCUGCUGCUGACCACCGUCACCUUACCUCUGAUGCAGCUGUGCUCAGCGCCAUCAUGGGGGGUGCGGGCAGAUGCGGAGUACGUGGCUACGCUACCACGCUAAAAUGCCGUACGUUUGGUAGCAGUCUCAUGGGCAGCCGACGCGCAACGGUCUUUUUCUCUCCGUCGAACUCGACAAUGCAAGAGGUUGACCACGCAACAUCUGCUAUCCUGGACACUGCGCGCGAUGGAGGACAAGUGCGGGGAGCGCCUUGACAGCGCAACCUAAAAGGGCGCACUGGUGCGCCACGGGGCGGUUGGUGUCGAAGAACUCGUGGGUACGCUCGCUACGACGUGUACGCCGCUUGCACUGAUCGACCCCAUGCUGAUUGCAAUGACGAGUGUGACGUACAACGUGUAUGCCACCGCCGAGCUGCGGCUGUGGCCGUGUGUGAGCCACUCGUUCGCAUCGCGUCGCCGCUUGUGCAGCUUUUCAUCAGCUGCACCGCCCUCGCACCCCGUAGUGACAGGGUAUUGCGCCAGCGGAUCGACCAGUGUGGGCAGUGAUGUGCGAGGUACCGCGUUCGACGUGGCUGAGCUACCUGGAAGUGAUGCGCAGCGAGAGCAACUUCAACGACCCUCUACUUAAUCUUCACGUUGUUGCGGCUGCAAGGCGCAACGACGGUUGAGCAGGCGGAAGGGGAGUAACGAUGGCGGCGCUAGUGUCGGCGGUCGCCGAGCUGCAAGCCGCGACUAGGCAGCGGUGAGCAGAAACGUUGUCCUCGCUGCAUUUCUUGUUCUUUUGCUCUUCACGUAUCGCCACCCUUCAGGACAAGGGAUGCCUCCGCGUGGUAUCACAGGGACACACCAGUGCCACCACUCCGUGACGGGAGGCCACGCAGCACCCUCCCACUCUUCCUGCGAAUGCCAAAGCACUUCUGGUGGUGACAGGGCCAGGCGCCUACGGCGUGGCGAGGCUAGAGCCGGUUUAUCGUUGCUGAUGUCGGCGGCGAGGUCCUGGCUGGCGCCACGUCGGGGCGACCUGCGACAUUGAGCACGUCUACAUUAUGCAUAUCGUGGACGAGGCGCCAACGUGAGGCACCGAUGACGGAAGCAUAAGGAGAGCACCCCGAAUUCGCGCCAUCGAGUCCUCCAGACCUCCACGUGGAGAGUCACCACACCACAUUGUGGAAUGCCGCGGUGUAAAGCGAUUGAAAGAGAAACACGCCACACUGGCAGGGUGUCCGGGGCCUCAGAGGGUCCUGGCCCCAAGCCGGCCAACCUCCCCCCAUGAGCUCAUCCGGCAUUCAGCCGGACCAGACCCUGUUAUCAGCACCACAGAGACGCCAUCGCCUCCUGCCCUCGAGCAGGACCGCGAAGGCCGCUCCUUCGGAUUACGGCAUGUAGUCCACACGAGUGGUCUGUCUGGCGCCGAUUGAGCAGCACGUAUGCAAAGGAAGGAUGAGAAAGAACAGGAUGAGCCCAUCAGACGCAUGGCCCUGAUUCGACAGCAGGCCAGCUCGUCGUAGGCGUCCAGCAUGUAGGUGUACUGCGGCGGAGGUGAGAGAACUGCGAUUGUGUAUGCGCAUGGGUGCGGACUUGUAGU